UACGUAGGGUGCAAGCGUUAUCCGGAAUCACUGGGCGUAAAGCGUGCGUAGGUGGCGCGUUAAGUGAGAUGUUAAAUCGUGUGGCUCAACCUAUCGAUGCAUCUCAUACUGGCGUGCUAGAGGACGGCAGAGGCAAGUGGAAUUGGUAGUGUAGCAUGAAAUGCGUAGAUAUUACCAGGAACACCAAUGGCGAAGGCAGCUUGCUGGGCCACUCCUGACACUGAGGUACGAAAGCGUGGGGAGCGAACAGG
RNAcentral lists this ribosomal RNA (251 nucleotides) under uncultured bacterium. Its description in RNAcentral is "partial 16S ribosomal RNA". It matches the Rfam family "Bacterial small subunit ribosomal RNA", at positions 524 to 776 of the family's 1533-position model. The record is from RNAcentral.